This 273-nucleotide ribosomal RNA is filed under the name uncultured bacterium. RNAcentral describes it as "partial 16S ribosomal RNA". It matches the Rfam family "Bacterial small subunit ribosomal RNA", at positions 524 to 796 of the family's 1533-position model. The record is from RNAcentral.
UACGAAGGGGGCUAGCGUUGCUCGGAAUCACUGGGCGUAAAGCGCACGUAGGCGGAUCUUUAAGUCAGGGGUGAAAUCCCGGAGCUCAACUCCGGAACUGCCUUUGAUACUGAGGGUCUCGAGUCCGGGAGAGGUGAGUGGAACUGCGAGUGUAGAGGUGAAAUUCGUAGAUAUUCGCAAGAACACCAGUGGCGAAGGCGGCUCACUGGCCCGGUACUGACGCUGAGGUGCGAAAGCGUGGGGAGCAAACAGGAUUAGAAACCCCAGUAGUCC